Molecule: ribosomal RNA, 301 nt
Filed under: uncultured bacterium
Lineage: Bacteria
Description: partial 16S ribosomal RNA
Rfam family: Bacterial small subunit ribosomal RNA
Source: RNAcentral
CAGUAGCCGCGGGAAUACGAAGGGUGCAAGCGUUACUCGGAAUUACUGGGCGUAAAGCGUGCGUAGGUGGCGUGUUAAGUCGAAUGUGAAAGCCCCGGGCUCAACCUGGGAAUGGCAUCCGAUACUGGCAGGCUAGAGUUCGAUAGAGGGUAGUGGAAUUCCAGGUGUAGCGGUGAAAUGCGUAGAGAUCUGGAGGAACAUCAGUGGCGAAGGCGGCUACCUGGAUCAGAACUGACACUGAGGCACGAAAGCGUGGGGAGCAAACAGGAUUAGAUACCCCAGUAGUCCCUGUCUCUUAUAC